UACGAACUGUGCAAACGUUAUUCGGAUCCACUGGGCUUAAAGGGUGCGUAGGCGGCCAUGUAAGUAGGGUGUGAAAUCCCCCGGCUUAACCGGGGAACUGCGCCCUAAACUGUGUGGCUUGAGUGAGAUAGGGGUGUGUGGAACUUCCGGUGGAGCGGUGAAAUGUGUUGAUAUCGCCUGGAACGCCGAAGGUGAAAACAGUCUGCUGGGGGCGUGCCGACGCUGAGACACGAAAGCCAGGGGAGCGAACGGG
Molecule: ribosomal RNA, 253 nt
Filed under: uncultured bacterium
Lineage: Bacteria
Description: partial 16S ribosomal RNA
Rfam family: Bacterial small subunit ribosomal RNA
Source: RNAcentral